AGAAGAAAGGUUUUACAAGCAGUCUUCCAUGUCUGAAGAUAGUGAUAGCGGUGACGACUUCUUCAUUGGGAAAGUCAGACGGACACGAAAGAAGGAAAGUAGUUGUCAUUCUUCAGUUAAGGAACAAAAACCACUCGAAAAAGUGUUUCUUGAAGAUACAGGUGAAACUCAUGGGGAUACAAGAAAUGACAAAACCAAGCCAAGUGCAGAAACCAGAAAGUUAGAAUCAGUGUUUUUCCACUCUUUAUCUGAAUCUAAAAGCUCUAGAAGAAAUUUCAAAGAACAGGCUCCAAAAACAAGAUCCCUAGGUAAGAAAUAAGACUUGCAUUUGUGAUAUCAAAAAUCACCCGAAAAAUGAAAAGCAACCCAAAAGUACCCAGGAGGCCCAUUUACUUACUGAUGACAACUGUGCCAUUCCCAGGAAUAUCUUGGUCGGCUGGGUAAGAAAUCUGAUGUCCCUUGGUUUUUCACUCUUUGGGGAAAUCUGAGCAGCACCCUGUGAUCAUAAUCUCUGACAUCUGCCCUGUAUGCUGUACUGUGAUUUUGAAAAAAGAAAAAUUAUUA
RNAcentral lists this small RNA (564 nucleotides) under Pan troglodytes (chimpanzee). RNAcentral describes it as "processed transcript". The record is from RNAcentral. Lineage: Eukaryota; Metazoa; Chordata; Mammalia; Primates; Hominidae.